UGGCGUUGGAGUGGGUGGUGCUGGCCUACGUGGCGGGGGCGGAGGCGAUCAUGCUGCUCUUCCUCACCCUUCCGGGGCUCGAUCGACUCCGGCGGGGUCUCGUCGCCGUUGUCCGGAGCGCCCUGAAGCCGCUCCUCUCGGUGGUGCCCUUCUGCCUCUUCCUCAUCGCUGACAUUUACUGGAAGUACGAGAUGCGGCCGUUCUGCGAGCAGGAAGCCUGCACCCCCUCUGAACACCUUCGCCACCAGAAGUCCAUCAUCAAGAGCCAACGUAACGCUCUCCUUAUCGCUUCCGCUCUCCUCCUCUACUGGCUCCUCUUCUCCGUCUCCGGC
RNAcentral lists this long non-coding RNA (332 nucleotides) under Musa acuminata (dwarf banana). RNAcentral describes it as "long non-coding RNA (MACU_LNC002886)". The record is from RNAcentral. Lineage: Eukaryota; Viridiplantae; Streptophyta; Magnoliopsida; Zingiberales; Musaceae.